UACUAGGGCAAAUCUGCUGAAAGACAGAGACGCAAAGCUACAGGGCCUAAACAUACAUUGUAGGGUAGCCAGCUGCA
This 77-nucleotide non-coding RNA is filed under the name Eubacterium maltosivorans. RNAcentral's name for it is "Cyclic di-GMP-I riboswitch". It matches the Rfam family "c-di-GMP-I riboswitch aptamer", at positions 9 to 84 of the family's 87-position model. From Rfam's summary of the family: GEMM was predicted in a large-scale screen for bacterial structured RNA regulatory elements. Lineage: Bacteria; Bacillati; Bacillota; Clostridia; Eubacteriales; Eubacteriaceae. The record is from RNAcentral.